This 7008-nucleotide long non-coding RNA is filed under the name Coffea arabica (coffee). RNAcentral's name for it is "long non-coding RNA (CARA_LNC004516)". Lineage: Eukaryota; Viridiplantae; Streptophyta; Magnoliopsida; Gentianales; Rubiaceae. The record is from RNAcentral.
UUUCAUCAAGGGGCGGACUCAUUACCGUGCCAAAGCUAAUGUACACGACUGAUGCAGAGUCUUGCUUGUCCAACCACGAUAGGCAUUCAUCAUUCUCAUCAGUUGAAGUCGAUUUUUUUGAGGUUGAAAUUAAGGGUGAAGAGCUAACGUUGAGGAAUUUUUUGAACUUGGACUUGGGAUCAGUUGUGAUGGCUGGAUCUAUCUCUUCGAAGGAGUUGAUCACAACAGCAGUUGCUCGCUGAAGAUUCAAUGCCAUGUUGUAGACCAUAUGAGCCAAUGGUGAUUCUUGAUUAUCCAUGAGAACUUCGUUGGGCAAGUCAUUGAUCUAUAUUCCUUGCAAUCCGGGAAUCAACUCAAGAGUCUGGUCUCUUUCCUCGGCAAUUUGGUUGAACAUAGACAAAGCAAUGUUGUGAAUUGCAUACAUUUCAUUUUUGUUGAACAAGGUGCGAUAAAUUCAUGAGACAAAAUAUACCCCAAGUCAAAUUAAACACGAUUUAUGCAUUUUUUUCUUGCUUUGCCAUAGGGCUUUCAAAUGGAACAAAGGAAUUGUUUUUUACAAAAACAGUGUCAACCAUAUUAGAUUUCAGAUGUUAUAUGUUACACACUAUGGCGAUAGUUAAUAAAUUUCCCAAUUGUUGUAUGGCUAUUCUUCCCCAUCUUACUUAUUGUUCCCACAAAAUGUAAAGAUGGAGCAAAUUGGAUGCUUGAUUAUGGUUUCGCUGCUUAUAUUUACUAAAAAGAAUUUUAAAAUUUUUAGUUUCUGUUGAUCUUAAAGAAUGUUGACGAAGUGGCAAAAAACUUUCGUAGUACCGGCUAAGUCAACUGGAGGAGUUUUUUCUAGGCAAAAAAGAAUAAACAGGGCAAGAGUUACACCAAUAGUAGAAUUCUACCAAUGCUUAAAAGAAGAAAUCCUCUGUGGAAAAGUAAUAACACAAAGAACUCUAAAAAACAUGGCAUAUGCUGACUGAUAACAAACAUUAGAUUUGCGAUGGAAUGAAUGCAUGCUAACCUAGGUUUUGAAAAAUAAAAUAAAAAAUCAUGUGUAUAUACUGACCUAAUUUGACAGGAGGGUUGAGAAAUGCAAAAUAUCUUAUGGAGAAAAUGACAAAAACAUGAAAAAUCUGAAGUAUGUUUAUCCAAUUCCCUAUACUUUGGUUCUGAUUGUCAAAAGUGACUCUGUAGUAUGUAGGGCUUAGAAAAUUUAUCUUUCUAACGAAGUAAAUGCUAUGUAUUUUGAGUUGAUUCUCAGGUUAUGAGAAUGCAAAAAAUAACCACGUUUUAUUCAAUUGAGUUGAGAUCAUAUAUUUUACCCAACUUUCCCACUUAGGAGAAAGCUUCUUCAAUCCGAGGAUGACAGGUAUAAUUCCGUCCAGAGGGUGGAGGGGGCUGCAUGCAUGAUUUCAGUACAUUUUGAAAGCACUAUCUGGCCCUUUUACACUUUAGGUUUAUUUGCUCUGCUUUAUCUCUUGUUUCUCCGGAUAACAUGAUUGUCCAUAACUGAAAAAGGGAAGCUAUUAGUCAGAUAUCUCUCUAAAACUAACUGGAUUGACAAAGUCGGCUGCAAGAUACUGCUCUUCAUGUCCAAUUUGUAAGGUACAGAGGUUUUGCCUGUCCUGAUUCUCUAAACGUGUGACAAUCUACUGAUUGAAGUGAUUUAAGAAUUCACAAAAAUUCCCAUUUUUUACAUUCAUCAAAUAUGUAAAUAUAAUGUACGUCUUUGAAACUUCCGCAAGCAAACAUUGUCUUUUUUUUUUUAAUGUUAAGAAAAUGAAAAGCAUGAGACUGGAACGAAAAUCUGUCCAAAUCCUGCAAUGCAAGCCCAUUAUUUCCUCAAAACACUUCGCGAUAUUUGUUCCCCACCACCAAAAAAAUGAAAAAAAAAAUCCCCCAAAGAAGAAAGAAGAAGUUGAUUUUUACAAAAAUCCUUUGGAAGUCGAUGUUCUUUGGUAGUCUGUAAACCUUUUUUCUUUCUUUGGGUGCUGUCCUUUCCUCGUGUUAUAAAUUCUUGAUUUACGUCCUCGAGAAUUUUGAAGAAUAACCUUGAAGAAAAUAAAGAUUUUGUUCCCCAAGUUGGCCUGGGUUCCUUUCACAAGUCACAACCCCACAAGGAAAUACACAAGCAAAAGGAAAGAUCGUAUACAGAAUCAGCCGUCUAGUCUCCCAAAGCUAUCGGGUGAGGGAUAGAAGAUAUAGUCUGGUUUUAUGCAUUCUUAUCUGUUCAAUUGAUGGAUCUUUCUGGCUUAUCCCUUUACCCUAACAUUCUACUUGAGAGUAGCAUUAAGUUUUAUGUUCCAAUCUCCAAUAAUACAAGAUUAAUCAUUUUAUUAGUACAGCAGUAUAUACAAACUUCAUCACCAGCAAUUAUUGAAGAUGGACAUAGCUAGAGCAAUCCCCGGAAUUAAACACAACAUCUUAGCAGAAACUAUUGUACGAAAAACUUUAAUACAUGUCCCUCAAUUUCCUAAACGAAAACUCCCGGACUCCCCACCAACUUCCUUACCUUCAUAGCUCAAGGGUUUAGUCAAUUGGUGAUCAUCUCUACCAAAAUUUCGAAAUUCUUAGUAGAUCUCCCAUUUGGUCCUACAGCCUUCAGAGCAAGCUCUUUGUAGGUUAAAAUGUGUUCCUUCAACUUCUUCCCUUUUGCACUUGACAAAACUAGUUCAAGAGCUAGAGCUGUUGCAUCUUUUGUAAACGAACCACCUUCGAUUCUCACCCCGAUUUUCCAAAUCUUUUCCACCAUCCAAGAAUUCAACUGAUGAUCACCAAAAAAUGGCCUACAAAUAAUUGGAACACCAGCAGCUAUACUUUCCACCACUGAAUUCCAUCCAGAGUGAUUUACAAAAGCUCCAAUGGAAUGAUGAGCUAAAACUUGCACCUGAGGAGCCCAUGGUACAAUUUUCCCAAUGACAUUUGUCCUUUCCAAGAAUCCAUCUGGCAAAUUGGACUUAAAAUUGUCCUUAAGCGACCAAAGAAAUGGAGUAUUACUUGCUUCUAAUGCUUCAGCCAAUGCUUUUAGCUCGUGGGCCGGAGGAGUUGCCAUUGUUCCAAAGCCAAUGUAUACGACAGAUCCUAGUUUUUGCUUGUCUAGCCAUGGAAUGCAGCCGUGCACGUCCGAGAUAUUAGCCAAUGGAGGUGGAGAUGUCAAGUUGAAGGGGCCAACAUUGAGGACAUUCUUGAACUUGGAUUUUAGAUCUUCAAUGACUGGGGGGUCUAAUUCUUCGAAGGAGUUAAUUGGCAAAGCAUUUGCUCGGGGUAGGGUUUGUCCCAUCUUAUAGAGCAUGACUGAGAAUGGGGAUUCCAUGUCCCCACAGACUACUCCACUAGGCAAAUCGCCAAGCCGAACUUCAGAAAAUCCAGGAAUGAAUUUAACAAGUUCAUCUUCACGUCCAGCUAUGCCUAAAAGAUCAUAACGAGGCAUAGAAUGUCACCCUCUAUUACAACUCUUACGUCACAAGCAGCUGAAAACACAACAAAAUAGAUUUUUCAAAUCACAAUCUAAAAUCAUAUCUUAAAAUCAGUUGAGACUAAGCCCUUUAUCAAAAUUCAUUUCUAGUCAAACUAAGAUCAUUUUGCGAUGAAAGAACUAAUCUGUUAUGAUUUUCCAAGUUGACAAAUUUCCACCAUGUAUUUGAAUUUGUGGUAACAUUUUUUUUUUUCACACUACAAAGGGUACGGUGGCUUAGAACCCUAAACACAUAGUAAUUCAGUAAUUGGACGUCAUCUUAAUUCAGUAAGUAACACAAACAACUUUAAGCCGAGUAUCGAGACUGCAAAAAGGAAAAGAAAAGGGAUAAAAAGAAUGACACUUUUUGUCUUUUCUAGGACUUUUAUUCGGGAAAUGAUAGAGGAAUUUCCAAGAAAAGAGAUAUAAUUGAGUAGUUAAUGAAAAUCCUUUUCAGCCAGGUGCAACCAAAAAUGGAGAGACAAUGAAAUACUACAGGUUAAAAGCAAAUUUAUGACCUCACAUCUGUUGAGAUAUAAAGAAGAAAAACACUCGAUGAAAAGAAUUCUUUCUUUUUUCACCCAAAAGUAUUAGAAAAGAUAUUAAUAGAUAUCAGCAAUUGUCCAGUCGUGACAAAAGGAGAUAAUUUGAUCAAGUCUUUUCUAUUGUCACGGGUACCAUCUACUCUUUUCACUCAGAACACCCAAACAGGGUCCAAAAGGAGAUAAUUUUGUGAUUUUCUUGUCAAGUAAGAUAAAAAUAUGCAUCGAAAACUAACAAAAAGUAUUGAUUGAUAUACAAAACUGAGCCUAUUGAAAUAUUUAGGUAAUGAAAUGGGGAUUUAUGAACUAGGUAUGACUCGUAACAAUUUUGAUCGGCUUAAUUUUGUCGUUUUCUUGUCAAGUUAGAUAAGAUGUGCAUCAAAAACUAACAAAAGAUGACGGUGAUAGUUGACUGCAAGAAAAGAACAAUCAUCAAAUAUGUCACCCAUUUUGAUUACUUUUACGUUGUUUGUCUUUCGCAACAUUGAGAAAAAACACCAUUAAGACAAUGCAAGUACAAGACCGACCUAAUUAACCAUUAACCAGGUGGCAACCAUAGAUUAUCAAACUAAGAUGCCGAGCAGAGGUCGAUUGAUCAGUUUUCGUGUUCUAACCUUCUGCUACCAUUAAUUAACCUUCUAGAGUCUUGAAUAACAUAAUUAAUUAAUUGCUAGGUACGUUUACUGAUGAACUGAUUGAUCAUGCUCAUAAUCCAUGCUCAUAAUCAUAAUGACCAAGGAAAUACACAGAGUAAUUAAAAGAAUGGUACCAUCUCCAGUGCCAAGAGUUUGCCUGAUGAGUUCCGUGUAGAAAUGAAUGGACAGAGACCCUGCUGCAGAUGUCCAAACGGGCACCCAAGAAACCCCCUUUUUCUCCGCGAUCUCACAGGAAAACCAGAGAAAAGCAUCCGCUACCACGCAGCUGACCCUCCUUCUAGUAUCCCUUUCAGCUGCCUCCAUAGCUCUCCUAAAAUUCUCCGGUGCCACUUUCAAGAAAAGAUCAAUAUCCUCCAUUGGCCUGCCAGCGAAAACAUAGCCAUCAGGCACCCCAUUCGGGACAUCAUAGGCCUUAACGUUAUCAUCACCAAUGUUUGAUGAUGAUGAGAAUAGGGAAGCAUUGGAUUUGGCUGUGCUGAAAAAGGAAAACGUUACAUUUGGGGCAGCUUUUGCUAGCCUACUUAUGAGUCCUAGGAGAAGGCCUGCAUGAGUCGCAAAGGGGAAUGCAAGAACCGCAACAUGUUUUUGGCUUGAGGAACUUAUGUUAGUCAUUUUCCAAGGGCAGUGAUAAUUUUUGCUCGCAGUCUAUAGGCUUGAGCAAUUAUGCGUCGAAUGUAGCAGAGAUUAGAGUUACGUAUAUAGCGGUACGAAGGUAGAAUUUCUUCCACACCUUUUUCCUACUCUUGCUCUUUAUGACCACAAUUAGAAUAAAAAAUUAUUCAUGCAAUUUAACUUGUAGUGAUUAAUUUUGGUCUUAGUAGCUAAUUGUUAAUGUUUGUACAAUGUAGUGAUCUGCACACAUAUUAUUAUUGUGUUUCAGAAAAAACCACUUUUAUACAGCAAGUCUUUUCUUUCAACAUUAAAAGGGCGUACGUCAUUUUUCCCUUUCAUAUAAAUUAAAGGAGGGUAGAUAGGCAAUUCAAAAGCUUAUUAUGCAUGAGUAGCCUAGUAGUUGAAGAUUUUAAGGAGGUUUGCUCUUUCAUAUUCGGGUUGAGUAAGUUUGAAGAGAGGUUGGUAGGAGGAAACGCCAUGCGCUAGACACGUUGCUGAGGCUUCAACCCCUAAUCCGAAAUUCCAAUCAAUGAGAAACAUCAUCUGCAGGGUUUGCAAAUGCACUUCAUCCACCCACUUUCCAGUCAGAAGUUCCAAUCAAGAGUUCAAUCAAUGCUUAUGGUGUUGUUUUGGACAUUGCCGCACCCGGGCCUGCCUUUCAAUGAUUUCUAUUAGGCCGAUUGCAUAUCAAUUCUUUUUUUCUUUUUUUUCCAAUUCCCAAAUCCCAACUGUUAACUUCUAACUGCUUAUUUAGACCCCAAAAAAAAUUCUAGUUGCUUAUAAAGUCUAAAGAAUUUGAGACCAUAUUAAUCACCUCAAUUACAUUGCUUCUUCAGUCCUUACUAUAUGGUAGAAGGAGAGGCUUUAAUAAAAAUGAAAAUUACUGGAGAAUAAAUUUUCCUACACCUAAACAAAAAACCAUAAAAUAAGCUCGCAAUUCUUGAAUGAAUAAGUGAGCAUACUUACUGUAAAUGGGCUACAUGGAGUAGGCGUGCUUGCAACACAUUGCACUCAAGACUUUGUUACUACCUCAAAUAAUUCUUCAAAAUUUCUUGUCGAACUACCAUUUGGUUUAACAGGAUCCGAGGCUUUUGCUCUAAGCUCUUGAACAUUCUCUCUGAUUGUUUUACCCUUGUCACUGGACAAAAUAUGUUGUAUGGCACUGAUUGUUCCAUUCUUGGUAAAUACGCCUCCUUCAAUUUUCAAACCAAUUCUCCAUCCAUCUUGUACCUUCCAACUGUUCAAUUUUUGAUCGCCAAAAUAUGGCCUACAUAUCAUAGGCACCCCAUGUGAAAUACUCUCCAGAAUAGAAUUCCAGCCACAAUGUGUUACAAAUACUCCAAUUGCAGAAUGUGCCAAGACUAGCACCUGAGGAGCCCAUGCAACAAAUUUACCAUGACUCUUGCUUGCUCGAUCGAUAAAUCCAUCUGGCAAAAGCUUCCUAGCAUGGUCCCUCAAUGACCACAGAAAUGAAACCUUAAUAGCUUCCAGAGCCUCAGCUAAAGCUACCAUUUCAUCAAGGGGCGGACUCAUUACCGUGCCAAAGCUAAUGUACACGACUGAUGCAGAGUCUUGCUUGUCCAACCACGAUAGGCAUUCAUCAUUCUCAUCAGUUGAAGUCGAUUUUUUUGAGGUUGAAAUUAAGGGUGAAGAGCCAACGUUGAGGAAUUUUUUUGAACUUGGACUUGCGAUCAGUUGUGAUGGCUGGAUCUAUCUCUUCGAAGGAGUUGAUCACAACAGCAGUUGCUCGCUGAAG